UUAGAGUUUAUCCUGGCUCAGAUUAACGCUGCGGCAUCCUACACAUGCAAGUCGAACGGCAGCGCGGGCUUCGGCCUGCGGCGAGUGCGAACGGGUGAGUAACAUAUCGGAACGUGCCCAGGAGUGGGGGAUAGCCCGGCGAAAGCCGGAUUAAUACCGCAUACGACCUGAGGGUGAAAGUGGGGGACCGCAAGGCCUCACGCCCCUGGAGCGGCCGAUAUCUGAUUAGCUAGUUGGUGGGGUAAAGGCUCACCAAGGCGACGAUCAGUAGCUGGUCUGAGAGGACGACCAGCCACACUGGGACUGAGACACGGCCCAGACUCCUACGGGAGGCAGCAGUGGGGAAUUUUGGACAAUGGGCGCAAGCCUGAUCCAGCCAUGCCGCGUGCGGGAAGAAGGCCUUCGGGUUGUAAACCGCUUUUGUCGGGGAAGAAAUGCUCCGGGCUAAUAUCCUGGGGAGAUGACGUACCCGAAGAUGGCACCGGCAA
This 488-nucleotide ribosomal RNA is filed under the name uncultured bacterium. RNAcentral's name for it is "bacterial SSU rRNA". It matches the Rfam family "Bacterial small subunit ribosomal RNA", at positions 1 to 499 of the family's 1533-position model. The record is from RNAcentral.